RNAcentral lists this ribosomal RNA (231 nucleotides) under uncultured bacterium. RNAcentral describes it as "partial 16S ribosomal RNA". It matches the Rfam family "Bacterial small subunit ribosomal RNA", at positions 99 to 334 of the family's 1533-position model. The record is from RNAcentral.
CGGACGGGUGAGUAAUGUCUGGGAAACUGCCUGAUGGAGGGGGAUAACUACUGGAAACGGUAGCUAAUACCGCAUAACGUCGCAAGACCAAAGAGGGGGACCUUGGGCCUCUUGCCAUCGGAUGUGCCCAGAUGGGAUUAGCUAGUAGGUGGGGUAACGGCUCACCUAGGCGACGAUCCCUAGCUGGUCUGAGAGGAUGACCAGCCACACUGGAACUGAGACACGGUCCAG